RNAcentral lists this ribosomal RNA (253 nucleotides) under uncultured bacterium. Its description in RNAcentral is "partial 16S ribosomal RNA". It matches the Rfam family "Bacterial small subunit ribosomal RNA", at positions 524 to 776 of the family's 1533-position model. The record is from RNAcentral.
UACGGAGGGUGCAAGCGUUAUCCGGAAUCACUGGGUUUAAAGGGUGCGUAGGUGGCAUCGUAAGUCAGAAGUGAAAGUUUGCGGCUUAACCGUAAAAUUGCUUUUGAUACUGCAAUGCUUGAAUCAGGUUGAGGUUGGCGGAAUGUGGCAUGUAGCGGUGAAAUGCUUAGAGAUGCCAUAGAACACCGAUUGCGAAGGCAGCUGACUGGACCUGUAUUGACGAUGAGGCACGAAAGCGUGGGGAGCGAACAGG